UCUGCAACUCGACUACAUGAAGCUGGAAUCGCUAGUAAUCGCAGAUCAGAAUGCUGCGGUGAAUACGUUCCCGGGUCUUGUACACACCGCCCGUCACACCAUGGGAGUCGGAAAUGCCCGAAGCCGGUGACCCAACCAAAAGGAGGGAGCCGUCGAAGGNAGGUCUGAUAACUGGGGUGAAGUCGUAACAAGGUAGC
Molecule: ribosomal RNA, 197 nt
Filed under: uncultured bacterium
Lineage: Bacteria
Description: partial 16S ribosomal RNA
Rfam family: Bacterial small subunit ribosomal RNA
Source: RNAcentral